GUGGUAAGAAUCUGAGCAGCCAUAAUCAAUGAGUUUGGUGUUUGAUGAUUUUAUCUGACAGCUUUGGUCAAGUCCAGAAAGCAGUACACCAAAGCCUAUACGUCGGUCACCUUCAAUAUCCCAAACAUCUGAUGUGCAAGUUCAGUGUGGUACAGAAUCUCAAAUGGCAUCCACAUCAGGAGAACAUACUACAAGUUACAA
Long non-coding RNA from Oreochromis niloticus (Nile tilapia), 201 nucleotides. RefSeq lists it as uncharacterized. The transcript has 3 exons. Lineage: Eukaryota; Metazoa; Chordata; Actinopteri; Cichliformes; Cichlidae. The record is from RefSeq and is a predicted model, not a curated record.